Molecule: ribosomal RNA, 275 nt
Filed under: uncultured prokaryote
Description: partial 16S ribosomal RNA
Rfam family: Bacterial small subunit ribosomal RNA
Source: RNAcentral
UACGUAGGGGCGAGCGUUAUCCGGAAUUAUUGGGCGUAAAGGGUUCGCAGGCGGCCUUGUAAGUCAGAUGUGAAAGACAGCGGCUUAACCGUUGUAAGCAUUUGAAACUGCAGGGCUUGAGUACAGGAGAGGAAAGCGGAAUUCCUAGUGUAGCGGUGAAAUGCGUAGAUAUUAGGAGGAACACCAGUGGCGAAGGCGGCUUUCUGGACUGAUACUGACGCUGAGGAACGAAAGCGUGGGGAGCAAACAGGAUUAGAUACCCCGGUAGUCCCUGA